This 487-nucleotide unclassified non-coding RNA is filed under the name uncultured fungus. RNAcentral's name for it is "sequence contains ITS1, 5.8S rRNA gene, ITS2". The stretch from base 236 to 389 matches the Rfam family "5.8S ribosomal RNA". Lineage: Eukaryota; Fungi. The record is from RNAcentral.
UGACUGCGGAGGAUCAUUAUCGUACAAAAUGUGUGAGGCAUGUGACGGCUGUCGCCGACUCAAAAAGUUGUGCACGCNGGANGGUGUCCUCUCACAUAAUAAUCCAUCUCACCCUUUGUGCAUCACCGCGUGGGCACCCCUUUGGGAUCGGACCGAUCUCGGAAGGGGGGUUCACGUUUUCACACAAACCCCCCCAUCUAAAAGUGUAGAAUGUCCUCAUUUAUGCAAUAAAUACAACUUUCAACAACGGAUCUCUUGGCUCUCGCAUCGAUGAAGAACGCAGCGAAAUGCGAUACGUAAUGUGAAUUGCAGAAUUCAGUGAAUCAUCGAAUCUUUGAACGCACCUUGCGCCCCUUGGUAUUCCGAGGGGCACACCCGUUUGAGUGUCGUGAAAAUCUCAACCUCCUUGGUUUCUUCUGGAGACCGAUGGGGGCUUGGACAUUGGAGGCCUUUGCUGGUGUCUCUCUUGAAGGCCCAGCUCCUCUUA